CCCUUAGAUGUCCGGGGCCGCACGCGCGCUACACUGAAGGAAUCAGCGUGGCUUUCUCCCUGACCCGAAAGGGUUGGGAAACCCGUUGAAUCUCCUUCGUGAUAGGGAUUGGGGCUUGAAAUUGUUCCCCAUGAACGAGGAAUUCCCAGUAAGCGCGAGUCAUAAGCUCGCGUUGAUUACGUCCCUGCCCUUUGUACACACCGCCCGUCGCUACUACCGAUUGAACGGUUUAGUGAGGGCCUCGGAUUGGUCCCAGCACGGCGGGUAACCCCUGCGCUGGUGCGCCGAGAAGUCGGUCGAGCUUGAUUAUCUAGAGGAAGUAAAAGUCGUAACA
This 334-nucleotide ribosomal RNA is filed under the name uncultured eukaryote. Its description in RNAcentral is "partial 18S ribosomal RNA". It matches the Rfam family "Eukaryotic small subunit ribosomal RNA", at positions 1470 to 1796 of the family's 1831-position model. The record is from RNAcentral.